UACGUAGGGACCGAGCGUUGUCCGGAAUCAUUGGGCGUAAAGCGCGUGUAGGCGGUUCGAUAAGUCUGCUGUGAAAGUCCAGGGCUCAACCCUGGAAAGCCGGUGGAUACUGUCAGACUAGAGUGCGGAAGAGGCGAGUGGAAUUCCCGGUGUAGCGGUGAAAUGCGCAGAUAUCGGGAGGAACACCAAUUGCGAAGGCAGCUCGCUGGGACGUUACUGACGCUGAGACGCGAAAGCGUGGGGAGCAAACAGG
RNAcentral lists this ribosomal RNA (253 nucleotides) under uncultured bacterium. RNAcentral's name for it is "partial 16S ribosomal RNA". It matches the Rfam family "Bacterial small subunit ribosomal RNA", at positions 524 to 776 of the family's 1533-position model. The record is from RNAcentral.